This 23629-nucleotide long non-coding RNA is filed under the name Ananas comosus (pineapple). RNAcentral describes it as "long non-coding RNA (ACOM_LNC015105)". The record is from RNAcentral. Lineage: Eukaryota; Viridiplantae; Streptophyta; Magnoliopsida; Poales; Bromeliaceae.
GAAAAUUACCUAAGCAAAAAGUAAAUCCUUGCUAUCUAGCUACGCGACCCCUUCGCUGAGAUCCCGUGCCUCCACCGGUGCUGAAGGCUCUGAAAGAAAACUAUAAAACAGAGGGCGUAAGAACUAUUAAAUAAUAGUUUCCAGUGGGCAAUUACUGACUUCAGUACAAUGCGCCACUAGGCCCAAAAACUAAGCAGGUAAGUAAGAAUAAACAAGCAAUAUGAAUGACAAGUAUUUAAAUAUGAAUACUUACUAAACCAGGAUAUCUCUACUUAGCAUGAAUUUACAUAAGUAAUAAAGCUGCUGUAAUAUGAAUGUCCAAGGUUACAACUAACAUAAUGUCCACAAGCUAAAUAGUAAAAUGUCAUUGUUUACUAUUCUAGUCAAUUUUCGCUUGGUAUACUAAGUCACCAAUGUUCCAAUCCUGUAGGACCUACCCGUGGGUUGUCCGGCCUGCACCGUGCCUAAUGGCCCCGUGGUAGUCAACAUCUCCACUCUAGGAAUGAGCCUCCCCUACGGCAUCCCAUUUCGGCGCCCAAUCCCGCACGGGCGAGCAUGUGUCGCAAUGGCUAUCUCCGGAUUGCCGGCUUGUGGGGAGCGACCCUCACAAGCAUAUGCGAAUGAGCACAAUGGCAAGCAAGUGUAAAAGUCCUCUCAAGUCCUAAGUCAUCAUGUCUAAAACAUAGAAUGUAGCAAAUCUCUCAAUGGCCUAUCACUAUGUCAUCAUAUCUAAAACAUGGAAUGUAGUCGAUGUCACAAUGGCCUAUCAAAAUGUCACUAUGUUGCAGUUCAACUGUUUACUAGUUUGGGUGCCUCUUUAUGGCACUUUUGUCCAAUGUGUUUAAACAUGAGUUUUGUGUCCCAGAACACUUAAUUCUAACCAUUUCCAACACAUGAGACAUAUUCCAAUUUACAAAAUAGAAUACUAAUCAUGUGCAUGAGUAAUACACUUAGCCCUCAACUACAUAGAGUCAAUUUUUCAUAAAACAUAACGCAUACAUUUUAAAUAUUCUAAAAUUCAUAAAAAUUCUAUCAAGCAUGAAUAUGCAGACAUUUCGAUAAAACAACAACUUUUAACCACUUAGGAGAAGAUUUCUCCUGUUCCAAUGAAGCCAAACCCACCGUGACUUCCCGAAACCCUUCGUUUGUGCCGACGAAGGUGCCCACUACUCUCCUAGUACCUAAAGAUAACAAAAGGAGGCAUACACGAACGUUACGAACAAUCAAUUGCUCAAACAUUAAGCAACUCAAGCAAAGGUGAAGGAAACUCACCGAAUGCGAAGAAACCUAUCACGAUCUCCAAAUGGGAGUUAGAGGCCCUCAAAUCCAACAUAAACAAAAGUUCUAAUAAGAUCAAUUGGGCUCCAAAACCCUCAAAUCCAAAAUCCCCAUUACUAACCCUAUUAUGCUCAAUCUAGGGUUUCAUUUAGUCAAAGCUACUAAAACAUGAAUCAAAAAGUAGAUUAGGCUUACUAACCUCACAAGAGCUCCAAAACAAGACUCCACGUAAGCUAGGGUUGAAGAUCCUCCCUCCACAAAGCUCCAAUCACGAGCUCAAGGCUUCUCCCAUGGUGAAAACUAAUAAGAAGCAAGAAGAGGCAAAAAUGAGGAGAUCAAAACUAGCUAAAACCAUCAAAAAUGGAGAAGGAAUCAAAGGGAAGGAGGCUCACCUUGUUCUCCACUGGUUAAGGCUCAAAAGAGCUCUCAAAGGGGGCUGGGGUGGGUUAUAUAGAGUUUGCAACAAUUGCAAAUACACCCCUCCACAAAAAUAGCUCGUUCUGCAUUGUGUACCGGUACACAGGAAAGUGUACCGGUACAAACCCUGCGAGACAGCAAACCCGAGCCUCGGGUUGGCCAUUCACCACAUUUGUACCGGUACAACCAUCAAGGUGUACCGGUACACUUUCUGUACCGGUACAACCAUCAAGGUUGUACCGGUACACAACCCUGCUGAGGCAACCCGAGAGCAGACCCAAAAAUCUAAUCUUUUGGAUUUUGAUACUAAGUUUUAAAUCUCAAUUCUCGAGAUGCGUGCCAUGGGUCGGAACUCUGUCUACGACCCUCUAGAAUAUCUGGAAAAGCUCGGAACAUAGAUCAAACACUCGAAUCUCGCAAUUUGCAAAGUUCGAGUGUGUUACAUCAUCACUCCAAAAUGCAUCUCACAACCUAUACAUCAUCUACUCUCAUAUAUGUAGGUAUCCCUAAUGCAGUAGGAGAGCUACUAAUGCUAGAGCGCUAAGCCCUUACCGCGAUCCUCGCCCAGAGCGCUCGUACUCGGCCCUGCAACAAAGUGGGGUGAGAACUAUUGUCCAUAGUUUCCAGUAGGUUCGGCCGCCGACUCCGCCGAUCUCCCCACUAGGUCCAAGUGGGCACAAGUAGAUAGAUAGAUAGAUAGAUAUGUGAAAAUAGUAACGACAUAGUAAGAAAGCUAUACUAUUAUGCCCAAAUCAUAUAUAAUGUAUGCAUGCACAAUGUGAUAGGUAAUCAGCUAACAUGCCACUAUGUCGAAGAAGUAAUGCUAUUUACUUGUUCAUCAAAUCUCUUGGCUUACCCAAAGGCUCGCCCACGACUCACAUAGCCAUCUCAUAAGGUAAGGAGACUCAACUUGCUAAACAAACUCGAGACCGCCUGCGGGACCCAAAAGGCUAUCCCCGGGACCCAAAAAGGCUAUCCCUCGUGUGACAAACUCCGGAGCGCACGCUUGUGUGGAGCGACCACUACAAGCUCAACAGACAGUGAGUAUGAUCCAAUCCUCUCCACUCGAGGAUACCCUAUCCACUAGGGCUAACAGUCACUCGGGAAUCCACCUAUCCCAGUGUCCAUAUGCAAGUGUUUAACUACACUAAGUUCUUGUUCAAUGACUCAUCGCUAGGGAAUCCGCCUAUCCCUAAGUUCAUAUGUCAAGUGUCACUUUACACUAAGUUGUAUGCCACUCAUUCUGUUGUCAUUGUUAUUUACAUGCCACUCAUUAUGUCUUUAUCAACCAUCGAGUCCAUCUCUUAUCUCAGCACUAUAGGAUUCAAUGCCUCAACCCAAUCCUUAUCUAUCCACUAUAUCAAGCAUUCCACUCAUACUACGAUAUCAUCUAGGAAAGCAUAAGGAAAUGGAAAUGCACAAUUAUCCUACAAUGCAUACAUGUGAGAGAUGCAAGAUUACAAUGCACUAAGACAUAAAGAGGAGCCCGGUUGCUUCGGGAUGACACCACCCACCUUCUGGCGUUGUCACGACUCUAGGAAUGCGAUUCGGCGAUUUUAUGACGUCGUCUCGGCCUUCCAGGCGGAAACGAAGCUCAGAAGGUCCUUUUCGCCAAUAACUUUGCACCCGCUCGAUGGAUUGCCGAAUCGUCUUCGCCAACGCAUCAGAAAGCCUAUCAAUUAGGAUAAUACAUGAUCAAUUUAGAUCAAACCCUACCACAAGGCAAAACCCCAUUUUGGAGCCCUAACUUGCAAUCAUGCAAGAAUCAAACUCUAAAUCACCAAACUCAAGUACUAAGCAUCUAUCUAGCAUGCUAGAGUUCCAACCAAACCAUUUCUAGAGUAUAAAAUGUAAACCAUAGAGAUCUACCAUGGUUGAGCUUCAAGCUUACCUCCAAAAGCUAGCUUCAAUAGUGAAGAGGAAGAAGAAGAUGAUGAAGAAUCUUCUCCUAGCUUGCUUCUCCUCCAACUCCUCCUCUUUUCCCACCUUCUAGAGAGAGAGAAAGGGCUUAGAGAGAGAGAGGGAGAGUUUUAGGUUUAGAGUUGAGGGAGAGUGAAAGAGAGAGUUCACAACACCCCUCACUCAAAUCCCCAAGGUCACAAUUGCGUAAAACCCCCUCAACUUUGUAACUCAUGCACAACCCAGCCUAGGCAACUUCGAGCUACGGGCACCGGUCUGUCCCUAGAGGGACCGGUCCCCGAGAGCAAUCUAUGCGCAAAAUGGCCUUUGCUCCAUUUCUGCGUGUACGGGUACCGGUCCCUCCCACCAGGGACCGGUCCCCGAGAGCACAAUUCCAUGCGCAGAGCUUUUCUACUAUUACCCACGCGUAUGGGUACCGGUUCCUCCCACCAGGGACCGGUCCCUGAGAGCAAAAUUUGCAAUUGUGCAGAUUUGCACAACUUGCUCUCUCAGGCUGUCUACAAUGCACCUUUUGCAUUUUCGACGCCUUCGGCCGUUCCGAAGCGUUCCCAACCGACAAUCAGUCGAUUCUAAACGAAGUUCAACUCUUAUAUUUCGAGAAUUCACUUCCUUACAUUAGUACCUUAGAUCUUCUCUUUAGAUCUUAUUAUGGUAAAGUUUUUUUAGAUGAAACCCUAGAAAUGAGAAUCUAGGAUUUUAUUUGGGUAUUUUUGAUUGGAAACUUUUGGAGCUCAAUUGAUUGGUUUAGAACCUUUGUUUAGGUUGGAUUUGAAGGGACCUAGCUCACAUUUGGGAUUUGUGAGGGUUUUUCUACACUAUAGGUGAGUUUUAACCCUUUUCUUGGGUUGGUAAAUGUUGAACACAUGGAGUGUUCAUUCGUCUUGUCUAACCCUCCUAGGAUUUUCUUUAGGGAGCUAGGAAACAUGUGGGCACCUUCGUCGGUGCAAACGACAGGAAUUUGAGGAGUCUUGGUGGGUUUGACCUCACCGAAAUGAGAAAAAUUUCACUUAUGUCAUUUUAAUAGUUGUAAAAUAGAAAAUCAUGCGUAUUCAUGCUAGAUAGAGCAUAUGUGAAUUUUAGAAUGUUUAAAAUAUAUGUGUUAUGUUUUAUAAAAAAUUACCUCUAUAUAGUAGAGAGAGUUAUGUGUGUUGUUAGCAUGCAUGAGAAUAGCAUCUAUUAUAUGGUUUGGAGUCAUAUUUCUUGCAAUGGAAAUGACUAGAAUGACAUGCUCUUCGAGAUAAAACUUAUGCUUGACAUAGUGGACUUUAAAUGUCAUGAAAUGGCAUUCAACUUAGCAAAUGAUUAAACUUGUAUUUAACGACAUAGUGAUAGGCCAUUGGGAUGUUAGCCUAUAUACCAUGUUUUAGACAUGAUGACAUUAGACUAGAGACGGAUGAUUACGCUUGCUUGCCAUUGUGCUCAUUCGCACAUGCUUGUGAGGGUCGCUCCCCACAAUGCUGCACUUCGGAGAUAGUCAUCGCGACAUAUGCUCGCCCGUGCGGGAUUUGACGCCGAAAUGGGAUGCUGUGGGGGAGGCUCAUUCCUAGAGUGGGAAUGUUGACUACCACGGGCCAUUAGGCAUGGCACAAGUCGGACUACCCACGGGUAGGUCCUAUAUGAACAGAACAUUAUGGAACUAAAAUGCAAAGUGGACAUUAGACAAAUUAAUAAAUAAUGACAUUUUACUAGUUGUACUUGUGGACAUCCUGUUGGUUAUACUUAUGCAUAUUCAUAUUAGAAUAGCAUUUAUAUUUGUGAAAAUUCAUGCUAAAGUAGAGGCAUAGUAGUUAAUGAGUUUAAUUCAUGUUUUAUAUACAUAUUGUUCUUUCCAUUUAAAAGUUGAACAUACUAUUUUUGACUUGUUAGCCUAGUGGUGCAUUUCACUGAGGUCAGUAAUUACCCACUGGGAACUAUUGAUUAAUAGUUUUCACGCCCCCUAUUUUGUUGUUUUCUUACAGAGCCUUCCACCCCGGGAGAGGCUCGAGAUCACGGUAAAAGGAUAGCUACUAGCUAGAUAGCAAUGAGUACUUGAUCUAGAUAGUUCAUCUCUCUAUUUUUGUAUCUAUGUAGAGAGCACGAGUUUUUGUAUCCAUGUAUAAAGACCACCAUUUUUGUACCUCUAGCACUUGUAUUUUGGAUUAUACGAUGUACUACUUCAUGGUUUUAUUAAUGGAUUAGUUCCUUUAUUUACCUCCUUAUUCUAUAAUCUAGUUGUUGUACGCUCUGAUACUCCUAAAUGCUCAUUUAUUAUUGCUUUAUUUAUCGCCUUGUGAAAGUUUUGGGGUGCCCAAGGAUCUAUCUAGAUUGUAUCUAACACCUAAAGGGGGGUGAAUAGGUGUAAUAGCCAAAAACCACAAAUCUCAAUGCGAUAAAAAUAAAUGCAGAAAAUAAAAAUCACAUCGAGAUUUACGUGGAAAAACUCCAACUUGGAGAAAAACCCACGGGACCAACACGCGAAAAAAUAAUUCACUAAGAGAAAAGAUUACAAGGUGAUUACCGACUCCACGGACUCGACCUCUCUUAACCUCGUACGAAUCUCGCGCAAUCCUCUGGGUUGUCCACGCCCUCACGUUCGAAUCCACGAACGCCUCGCACACGUCCGAAUCCACGAACGCCACUCGAAUCCACGAGCCCACGAUCCGAAUCCACGAACCACCUUCAAUCACGCCGAAUCCACGAUGCCAUCCAUGAAAAACAUCAUGCUAUGGUGAUCUUUCGCUUAGAAUGUUGAUGAAGAACCAGAGACCAAACUCUAAGCGAAGUCUUAGAUCCAUUCGACAUUAAGAUCUCGAAUUACGAUAUCUCAAAUUGACCUAAAAGAGGUUAUUUUGUAGAAAAUAGGUUUUGGACAAAAUCCUAGCCUCUAGGGUUUCUCAAACAUGUAUUCUCAUUAUGCUCAAGCUAUUAGAGAACCCCAAUAGUUUAUUUAUAGACUUUAGAAUCAAUUAGAGUCGGAUUUGAAAGCUUUAAACUGUUACCGGUUACACGAUGACAGAAGAGAAAAUCUGUGAAACGCUGUAACCGAUGACAAGUCGCUGGUUGUACCGGAACACAAUUUGUACCGGUAUACUUUCAAUGCUUUACCGGUACACUUUGCAUUUUCCAGCUUUUUGCACAGUUUCGGGUUUUGCAAAGUUUCGACGCACUUUCUAAUCCACUAAACUUUGAUUUUCUGAUUUUAAUGCCUAUAACUAAGUAUGAAUCACCAUAACAUGAAUUAAAAUCUUACCUGAGCAUCGUGAUUCACAUCAUGAGUUAUUUUUUGAUUUCUCCGAAGUUUUGGAUUCUUCAAUCUUCGACGAUACGCACCGAUCCUUCAAGACUCCGACUCAAUCCAUGAAACUUGCCAACACACAAGACUUAACAAUCUCCCCAUUUGGCAAUUUCGUGACAAAACUCACAAACUCAAAAAUUACAUCUUAAAGAAAAACGAAGUUCAAUGUCAUCACCAAAACAUCGAACCCUUCGCAUGUAGUCUAAAUACAAUUUGAAAUUCAUAAAUACAACAAAAACUCCUAAAACAGACUCUAUGACUUAGACGCAACUAGAAGUCUUGAAGUCUUGAUCUCCUGCAAAACAAAAUAUUCAAAAACAAUGUAGAGUUUAAUCAACAUUAAAUUCUUAUACCUUCUCCCCCUUUGUUCUCAAUCACUUCUCCCCCUUUGUUCAUGAAUCCAUCCUCUUCAUCCUCUGCUUUGAUCAAUACCUGUUCUUCUUAUGAUCUCCCCCUUUUUGUCAAAAAUUGCCAAAAGAAAGCAUAUAGAGAGAAAAUCACUAAAACCUGAGAAGCAGUCAUGUCAUAGUUACAGGCCUAAAACAAAUGCUAAAACAAGUAAACCAACCUAAACAUAGUCGUAGGAGAGAAAAUAAAAAACAUAAAUACUAAAACUCGAAAGAUAAAAUCACUCCGUGUCCUCCUCCUCAUCAUCAUCAUCAUCGUCUCCUGCUCCAGUUCCAGAUCCCCCAGCCUCAGGAGCACCACUGGAUGGUGGAAUGAGUGGAUGUCACGACGUAGAUCUUGUAUAGGUGGUGUAGGUAGGAUGGGUAGGAAAUAUAUCGUCAUGCCUACAUCCUAGCUUCUCCAAUAUCCUUUUCAUCCCUACCUCCAACUUUUUGCCAAGUUGCACUACUAUCUUCUUUAAGGAGUACAUCUCAUGGUGAAGUGAUUCUACAGUAAUCACUCCCCCUGAACUAGAAGAUCCCUCGUGCUCUGCACGACGUGGAGGUGCGGAACUAGAAGCUCCUCUUGAAGAUCCCUUAGUCUGCUGAUAGGUCUUCAAAGUACUCACAGACUUGGCCCAUGUCACUGCAUCAAUUGGUCCAAGGCCCACGUCGUAUUUCUCACACGACACGUCUACUCCAUUCUCCUACAAAAUCCUCGUGAUCAAUAGAGAAAAUGGAAGUAGAUCACGUCGCACCGACGACUGUAUAACAUGCACCAUCCGUUGCCACAUAAGGAAGGGAAUGUUGAUAUUCAGCCCAUCUGCCUGCUCCGGGUGACCAAGGAGAUACAAAAGCACCAGUCGAUCCCAUCGAAUCCUCUUGGUUCCAAUAGUUGGUUGCACGUUGUAGCACAUCACCAAGGACAGAAGAUGAUACUCUCGUCGCAAGUCCUUGGACUCCACAUAAGCAUGAUUCGUCCUCACUCCAUCCUUGCAGAUUGCUUGAACAAUAGUCUCCUAGUGGGACGAAGACUGAUACAACCUUGUAGUAUGGUGGAGGCCAGCAGUAUCAACGUGCAUCCUCAAGAGCUCACCAAUCGUGUGAGGAGUGACUACAACCUUCUGCUGCCGCACAUAGGUCUCAAAUAAAUAAGUCCUUGUCUCCUCAUCCUCAGCAAGCACCCUCCCGUUCAUGUAGAACUCCCGAAUGAGUUCCACACAAAAAGGAGCACGAGCAGGAAACCGUCCAACGGGCUCUAUCGGUACCCUCUGAAGCAAGCGUCCAAAUUUCGGAACCUCCUGGAUGAGUUCAUUGAAGUUAACAUAUCGCUCCGCUAUGCAUGAUCUACUCGAAAACGUCCUCUGCCGCUCCGGUAGAACAUCCGCGGCUUGCUUUGAGCGAGUCUCUCGUGCACGAGAGCCACCUCCACGUGAGGAUUCUCCAGCUAUUCCCUUUCCUUUAUCAAUUCGAGCAGUUGGCUCUUCAGCUACCUCCGGGGAGUUCGCCUGAUAAUUCGGAUCAGAACCCGGUGACUCGCCUGCAGUACGAGUCCUCUUGGAAGCCCCUCGACUGUCACUCCCCGCCCCGAAACCACUACCAAUUUGGCACGAUUCGGGCGCGCCAGGCAGACGGCCGAACGGACAGCACCUCCCCUGUCCGCCCAAGGCUCAACAACAAGAAUGUGUAUAAGAAUUUACCCAGGAAUUUUAAAUUCUAAACAUACACAUUCAACGGGGCACAAACAGUGCCAACAACAACAAGAGCAAGUGAUCCACAAGUAAAAACGAGUGAAAUAAAGAGAGUAUUUUUCUAACUAUUACAAUAGUUUUGCAUCUUUUUACAUGUAUACCCUUUUCUCAAGAUGAAUACAUUUGAUCAUCCAAAAUACAUAGCUCUCCAACCUCACCUACAUAAAACUCUCAAAUACAUAGGUGUGCUAAUACAAAAAGGAAAGCUACUAUACUACCACGAUCUCACUGCUCGGGCGCGAUGCCCUUGCCGCGGUCCUCGCUCGGUAAACCUGUACCUACCACUGGAAAUAGAGUGGGGUGAGAACUAUCUUCAAUAGUUUCCAGUGGGCUCGGCCGCCGACUCCGCCGAUCUCCCUACCAGGUCCAAGUGGGCACAAGUAACAACAAGUAGAUAAAUAGAUAAAUAUCUCAAAACAGUAAAGUCAUAAAGAAAAUCUAUGCUACUAUACCCAUAAUCAUGUAUAAUGAAUGCAUGAAUCAUAUAGUAAAGGUUUACUAUCAUGCUAACGAAUUCGAUCCAUAUUCGAAUAAUAAUGUUCAAUGACAUUGUUCACUGUUCUUUUACCCAAUCUGUAGCGAAGCCCUUGGGUUCGCCAAUAACUCACCUUUCAAUCCCAAAGUGGGGAGGGAGCUCCAAGUGCUCCCAAGACCGGGACUGUCUGCGGACCUCCAUGUGGUCCGGACCUCCAAGUAGUCCUAAUCGCCCGACACUCCGAAGUACUCGACGACAAUCCCCUCUAUGUGGGGAUAUGGAUGGCUAUACCACCCCAAAAGCAAACUGUGAGCUAGAUCUAUCCUCUCCGAGUGAGGAUGCCCUACGACUAGGGUCAACAACCCAAUCAAAUCCUCUCCAAGUGAGGAUGCUCUACAACUAGGGUCAACAACCCAAUCAAAUCCUCUCCAAGUGAGGAUGCCCUACAACUAGGGUCAAUAUCUCAAUCAAAUCAUCGACAACCUCUCCAUGUGAUGGUACUUAGGUUUACUAUGUUCUUUGUCAACAAGGCAUUUUCUAAGGGAUCCACCUAUCCCUAAGUUCUCAAACCUCUACUGUCGUUUACACUAUAUUAAUGCCACUCGUUAUUCUUUAACAUUUGGAUGCCACUCGUUUGUUCUUUAACAUUUAGACACCACUUUCUAUGUCAUCAACACCCAUUGUGUUCAUCUCAUUUCUUUAGCACUAUAGGAUCCAUGUUUCGACCCAAUCCUCACCUACCUAAAUCACCAAGCGUUCCAAGUACACUAGGUUAUCAAUUAGAAAGCAUAAGGAAUGGUACUACUAUACAAUCCUACAAUGCAAUAUGUAAGAGAUGAGAUUAAAUGAAAUCUAAGAUAUAGAAAGGAGUUCGAAAGCUUCGGGAUGGCACCCCCCCCAUCUUUUGUAGUCGAUAAUCGUUGUGGAGGUCCUAGAAGUGUUCCUCGGCACUUCAAACCACGUGUUCCCCGCCUCUUUGGGAGAAACGAAGCUAGGUCGGCCCUACUUUGCCGAUAGCUCUAAAUUCACUCGACGAAUCGCGAAAUCGACUUCGCCCCCGCUUUUUGUGACCUAAAAAUUAGGUUUACAAGGCCUCAAAUGAGAUCAAUCUCAUACUUUACUAAAAACCCCAUUUUGGAGCUUUAGGUUUGCACUUAUAGCCAACCACUCAAUCAAAACCCUAGAUUCUAGCAUUGAUCUAUUUAGAAGUAUGCUAGAGGUCCAUUUGACCUAUUUCUAAAGUCAAAAAUCCAAAACCCUAAGUUCACAAAGCUAGGGUUUGGUAGCUUACGUCUUGAACUACACCAAAGAGAAGAGGAGAGGGAGAUGAAGGUGUCCAAGGCCUUCUUCUUGAUCUCCUUCGUCUUCUCCUCCCUUUUUCUUCUUCUCCUUUUCCUUCCUCUCCUCCUUGUUCUUCUUGUUCUUCUUCUCUUUCUAGAGAGAGAGAGGGAGAGUGUAAGGUACUAGACUUCUAAAAUCAUGAAUUUAUGGUGUACAUUUGGUUGGAGAGCUAUUUGAAUGGUUCCGGUGAAGUUCGGUGAAGUUCAGGAGCAAUCGGGCGUUUCGGUGCGCGUAGGCGCGAAAACGGAACCCGAAACGCUAUGUUGGGCCAUGGGCUAAAUCCGGCAUUAGCGCAGAUGAAAAGAUGAUGAAAACAUGUUUGAAAAUAUGUUCGGAGAGUCUCGGUUUGAUUUGAAAUGAAUCGGAGGUCAAACGAACGAAAACGGGCGAAAACGGAGUGAAAACGGACGAAGCUGAAAAUUGGCUAAGUCUGGGCUGGAGGUCUCUCUGGGACCGGUCCCAGGCAGAGAGACCGGUCUCUCAGGGACCUGUCCCUCAUGCAGAGACCGGUCCUCGAACCCCGAAAAUGCCCAGUUCGGGCUGUUGCAAGAAGAGACUUGUUGAGGGGUUUUUAUGCAAUUGUUGCAUGGGUUAAGUGUAUAGAGAGAGUUAGAACCUCUCUCUCUCUCUCCUUCCCCCACCAUUUCAACCCCAACACCAUCCCUCUCUCUCUCUAAACGAAAUAAAAGAAAGGGUAGAAGAGGAAGAAAAGAAAGAAGAGAAGGAGAAGAAGAUCAAGAAGGAGAUCUUCAUCCUCUCCUUCGUCUUCGUCGUGCUUGGAGCAAACCUAGAUAGGUAAGCUUCUUAGCCUCUCAUAGUAGAUCCCUAGAUGUGUGGUUUUGAUCUCUUAAAAUAAUUUAAUUGGAAUCCCGGCAUGCUAUCUAGAUGAGUGAUACCUAAUUCAUGAAGGUAUUUGGUGGUUUUUACCGAAGUCCCAAACUAGGGCUCAAAAAUAGGGUUUUAAGAAAUAGUUGGGUUUGAUCUCAAAUAACCCUCUGUAAACCUAAUUGCUAGGUAAACAAACACGCUGGCGAAGUUGGUUCGGCAAUCCGUCGAGCCGUUACAAAGAUAUUGAAGAAACUGACGAUUUAGCUUCGUUUCCGCUUGGAGGGUCGAGGCGACGUCGUAAAAUCGUGGAAAUGGAUUUAGAGCACCGUGGCACAUAACCGAAGACCUAUAAUUUUCGGGGCUGCAAAGUGGAGCACUGUUGAAGCGCAGUUGCAAUAUCGGACCGUGCCGGAUACGAGUGCCGGGGUGGCCGAUUGCGAGUGUCGACAAGCAAUCGGAACGCGAGUUCAGGUGGGUUGUAUUUACAGAAACGACUAGGUCGCCCUUUAUGUCUAAGAAACAUACGAAUUCAUAUUGAUGCAUGUUAAUAAAAUGACAUAGCUAAUGCAUGUGGACAAUGUGAUGCAAAAUGCUAAGUAGAUGCAUGUAAGAUGAUGUAAUAUAGAAAUGCUAGAAUACAUGAUGGCAUUUCAUUAGCCCGGCUUACCCGAGCCAACCUACCCAACUCAUCUCAUUAGAAAAUAAAAAACAACCUAACCUGAAAUAUAAAUCCGUAAUCAUUUAAAAAAAAUUUCAAAACCGUAUUUAUCCUGUGAAUGUGUUUUCACAGGGUUUGAACACAGGGAUAUUGAAUUAAGAUAACAUCACAUACAAAUUCUACAUUAGAAUAUAAUUUAUCAUUCUUUUAUUUAUCUUCACGGUCGGAUAACCCUAAUUUAACUCUUCCAGGAUGUAACUAUGAUGGGUUUACCGAAUGUGUAUAUCUUUACACAAUAAUUAUAAAUAUAAGUACAUCACAGAGACCCCAAAUCACCAGCCUGAUUGCCGUCGUAGUCACCGAACAGCUGUGAAAACAUCUCACAGCCCUGCUCGGUCUCAGUAAAACCGCACUUUAUCUGCACUUUUGCCUGAGCCUCGACACUCCCAACCUCAAGCCUGUGAUUUUAUACGUUUUUAUCUUAAAACUCACAACACAUAGCUAGUACACUCCUCAUGGCCAUGGGGUCUUCCUAAUGUACUUAUCCACGAGAGCCCAAACACGUCGAACCACAAAACAUGGCCAUGGACAACCACUCAUGGCCAUGACCCUGACCCAUAGCUAUGAUGUAGCCCGGUCAUGACCAUGUGGCGUGAGCCCAAACGAGCUCCUCACAGCCCAUGGCCAUGGAUUCAACUCAUGACCAUGAGGUCCGCCGUUUCACUCAACCAUUCCCCAGAAAACCAAUAAAACGACAGCUAUUUAGGAUUGGAUAGGGGUCAGUUAGAGAAACACAAUCUUCGAACCUCUUUUGUCCAUCGAAGAUGAGAAAAGAGAGAGAUCGAAGAGAAGAGUGAAAGAAACACUUAAACCCUUAGCUAGACUAAAAGCAAAAGGGAGAUCCAAUUACAAACUAUCACAUUCCACCAGCAUUACGGGAGCAUGGAGAAGCGACUAGUGAAGAUCCCGUAAAGCUCUGAGCCCCUGUUGAAACAAACCGCUCUGCUCCGAGAUGCGCUGCCAAGCCACCCAAACUGGAUCGGUGUGUUACUAUUUAAGAGUAAACACGAAUUAAUUCAUAACAAUUUACCUUUUCGUACGUAUAAGAAUAACAUAUAUAAAUAACACUUAAAAUCUUACGAAUUUUCCAGAUACAACAUAUACUACUUUAAAACCUGGAGAUACCUCAUCUCUCAUUGAACCAUCCGGAUACCAACGUAAAUCGCAAGUUAAACUCUGAACCAAAGUACGAAGAUAUCACAUUUACUCGAAACUAGGUACGUAAAUUUGAAUUCAAAUAAACUUUGUACUUUCUACUGUUUAACGGUAUAUCUCCAUAACUUGAUCUUACAUACACUUGAUCUCUCGAUUACAGUAGUUCGCCAUAACUCGAGCCCUGUACACACUUGGAUCACCUAUCCCGGUAACUCCUUACACUUUGUACGAAUUAAUAAUUACAGAUUCACAGUAUUUCCCCGUGAUCUGGAUCUCUUCCAACCCUGAAGUGAACACUGAAUCUUGAUCUAGAAGCUCUACGAUCACCUAUAUGGUACAAUCUCUGUACUCCCAACCUAUGAACUCGGUAGCUGUUGCGAACAAACGGUAAACACGAGUAAGCGUGUACGAACACUCCCAGCGAGGGAUGUUCGGCCGUGAGGCCUCAAUCGGAUGCACUGGAUACAAGCGAGCACGCCAUAACUCUUCGGAUGCCCCAGCUCACCCUGUCUGUGUAAGGUUCUCAUCCCUACAACCCGAUGGUGUCCGUGAAUCCGCCGUGUUCGACCUGAUGGAACCCUCCAGGAAUUUAACCUUUACCUUUAGCUGUGCCACAACUUAUACUUGUUAGUGAUGAUCUAUCCUAAUCAUCAACCUAAUGAACCUGUGCGAAUACUAUAUCGUAACCAUGUAAAUCAUAUGAACGGCCAAAGUAAUAACGUAGCAUCAUAUGAGCCAACAAACCUAUCUCAAAUGGGAAUACGUAACUGUAUAACGUAGCACGCCAAAUGAACAAAUAAUACAACUCUGUAUAAUCAUACGUAGCCUAUAUAAUGGAAUACUAUCGCAUCUACAUGUAGUGGUACUGUAGUACGAAUAACCUCUGUAUCAUCAUAUCGUAAAGUAAGUACGAAAGAAAGUCGUCAAAAGUACAAGCGAUAAAUAACGUAUAAUGAUAUACAGCAAUAAAUGGGAAAAGAAAACCCCGGAUCACCACGUAACUCGACUCCAGUCAUUAACGGGUGACCCUUGAUAUUUAAUAUCAAGAGUGCGGGAGAAGAAGAGCUACAAAAAGUCUCGGAAGGUGCGUCCCACUCCGGUCCCUGGCGCCCUUCCCUCAACGAAGCUCGAUCGAAGGAAGCUCCUGCUGAACGAUCCACCAGGUGGAGAGCUACAUAUAAAGAAAACGCUCUCCAACUCCUCAAAUGGUUACAUGAUCUCUGGUGGUAAAAACAUAAUCUCUGUCUAUAACAUGAUGAAUACUGAGGAAAAUAACAAAUCGAAAUGAAGACAUGAAACCACAUCUACAAUCUAGAUAUGAGCGAGACUAUAGUAAUCAACGAUCAAUAAAGUGGAGAAGAUAAACAGGAUGAUAAACGAAAAUGAAGGCGAAAAAAAGAUCUGCGGAAUAUACACAUCUGUAUACCGCCCAGACCCGUGCGAUGGCCCUCCCGGAGGCGACCAGGGCCCCGCACUGUUGCAAUUAUACGNNNNNNNNNNNNNNNNNNNNNNNNNUGGAUUCCGGAAUCCCGAGACUUGUGAACUCAAUAGUUCUUGGACCGCGGGUGUAUGUGGCAUGUUCCUCUCCCACCGGAAGAACUUUGAGGAUUGUGACUGAGCAAGAACAAAAAGCGCUAGGGUGUAUGCGGUAUGUUCCUCUCCCUAUCGGGGAUCUUGGCUAUUGGUGUAUACGGCAUGUUCCUCUCCCACUGGCGGAUCCCUGACCACGGUGCACGGACCUUCGGGCGGACCGUUGGGCGAUUUAGUUCUUGGCUUGCAGGCUGAGGUGCAUGUGACAGGGUCCUUCACCUCGAGCCGGGCAGAGCACGGAUUAUCCGCAGUUGAUUGACUCGAGACCGAGUCGGGUGGCUAGCUGGAAUAAGGUAGAUAGAACCUUGAGGGCUAGUGGUAAAUGUGUUUAACCUAAGGUGAUAGAGACCUUAGAGUUGGAUGAUAUGAACUAGAGUUAGCGAGAGUGAAUGUAGAACCAAUAAUUCUACUAGUGGUUGCAUAUAUUCAUGUUGCAUAUAGCAUGGCAUCAUUGCAGUUGUGAGGCAAAGCAAGGUAAAGUUAGUUGCAUGUUUAUGAUAUACAUAUCUAUCUGUUUAUUGGACUAACUUGUAUUUGCCUCCCUUGGACCUGUUGGUCGAGCUCCUCCCCUGGGAACCAUGGAGUUGGUUCUCACCCCACAUUGUUUUGGGGUGUUGCAGGUCCGUACGUGAGCGGUGCGGCGGUGCGAGGCAAGGGCGUAGCUCCAUAGAUAGCGCCCUACCCCAGAGACUAGAGAUAGAGACCAGAGAUAGCGGUACCCCAAGUCGGCAUUGCUUAGGGGUAUAGGAAAGGGAAAGGAACACAAUGUAUCAAAUUUGUAAUAUUAAUUGUAAUAACUUAAUUGCAUUUGGAAGUUGAAUGUGAUGUAAAAAUGAAUCUAAUGUGAAUGUAUGUAAUAACAUAGGAUGUGUUAUAUUGUUGAUACCUUUUCAUUUGCAAUCUAUGAUUGAAUACUGUUCCUGGUUGGAACCACUUAUAUUGUUUUGAUUGCGACGCCUAGGACGUAUAGGGGAAACUCUGUCCGUUCGGCGGUCUGUCGGCGUGCCCGAACCCGACCAAAUAGGCGGGGCGCGGGGCGUGACAGAGAGAAUAUGAGAGGGAGUGAGAGAGUGAGGGAAUGAGAAUGAGAGAGAGGAGAGAGCUCAUCCUCUCUAUAGCCCUCUCUAAUGUAACAAAAUCCACUUUAGCCCCUUAACUUCCACCUCUAUACACUGCCUUUACUGGGCAGAAUUCGUGCGGAGGGACAGGUCUCCGCGACUUGGGACCGGUCCCCGAGAGCAGCCCAUGCUGCUGGGGCCCUUCUCGCAUUCGGGAACCGGUCUCUCCCCGGGAGACCAGUCCUCGGGAGACCGGUCCUCGCCUGAGAGACCGGUCCCCGAGAGCUCGAUUUUCAGGACUUAGCCGAUUUUGGCCUUCUCUCGCUGGCGUCGCACAUGGGGACCGGUCCCCUCAGCCAGGGACCGGUUGCAUCAAAGAUCCCCAGCAACCACCAGCCUCGGGGACCAGUCUCUCCCUACCAGGGACCGGUCCCCGAGAGCAACUUCAGCCCAGUGCAGGUUUUGCACUAUAUGCUCUCGCGGACUCAACUCCAAUACACUUUUUGUGUUUUGGAUAACUUUAGCUUUCCCGAAGGAUACUCACUCGACAAUUAGUCGAUCCGGGAUGAAGUACAACUCUCGGAUUUCGAGAAUUCACUUCCUUACAUCGACGACCUCUACCGCCACCACGACCACGUCCAGUGACCAUCAGCACCAAAAGUAUCAAUACGAGCGAGAACGCCAUUUUUCCUACAAAAAAAUGAGCCUUGCAUGAACAAAUUUUCAAUAAAAAUCUGUAAAAAUAGUGAAAAUUUUUCUAAUAAUAUUAGAAUGCAUAACACCACUAUUUCUAACUAAAUCAUACAAAAUUUUCAUCAAAAAUUGAUUUUCAUCAAAAAUUUUUAAAUUCCACAUACAUGGAGGUACAGAUCACAGAUCAACAAAAAAUAUAGCAUUAUACCCUGAUCUAAGUGUUCUAGAAGCAAGAAUAUAUGUCUAAACACUGAUUCACAGCAAAAAAAUGGCAUAAAAAAUUAUCAAAAACAGAAAUCAUGCUUCAACUCGGAAUUUUUCCGAAAAAUUACAAGAACGCAAGCAAAUGAUUAAAUCUGAGGAAGAUACUCACAAAUCUUUGGAGAAAACGAGUGGAUCUGGAGGAGAAGGUCACCUGGGAUUUUUUGAGAGAGAAAAAGAGAAUUUUGGUUUUGAUUUGGGUGAGAAACGAAAUCCCGUAACCGGUUAUAAAACACGGUCUAUAGUUAUUUUGUACCGGUACACGGUAUUUUGUACCGGUACACUUUCCCAGAUUUCGAAAAUUGUGAAUUUUUUCCUCAAAACUCAUUCAAAAUCAAAUUAAUUUCAUAAGAAUUUAAAAGUUGUACUCCAAAAAUCAUUAUGAUGAAAAUAAAUUAUUAUAAGAUUUCAAAUUACACCGAAUCAUCAAAAUUUGUUAUCGAAAAUAAUCUAAUGAUUAAUCCUAUAAAGAUAAAGUUGGAUUUUUGGAGCAUCAAUUUGAGGAAUCGCACAACUCCAAUCAAUCCUUGACCGAUCAAGUUCGUCAACUCCAAUCCGAUAUUCAAAAGUUUUCUUCGGGAUCAAAAAAAUUGGAUCAUAUGCUUGGAUUGGGUCAAACGAACAAACUUGGCCUCGGAUAUGAAAGAACGUAUGUUGAGAAGGAUCAAAAGUCAACAUCUAAAGUCUCAACAACUUUAACCGAAAAGGUGUGUCAUAGAUGUGGCAUCAAAGGACACAUCAAAAAGGGUUGCUCGAACAAGACUAAGAAGAAUCAAUCGGCAACUUCAAAACAUCAAGUGGCACCCUCUACUACUCGACUUCCCCUACGGAAUUCAAAGAAAAAUCAAUUGAGUCGAGCACCUCGAGGGAAUCGGUUUUCCAAUGCUCAACAUCAAGUCCAACCGAACCAACAAGCAAGCCGAAAUUAUAAGCCGCAACGUCAAUUCCAAUCGAAACCUCAAGCGAAUCGGGCUUCUAAAUCACAACGGCAAUUCCAAUCGGAGCUUCAAGCAAUGAAACGAUCAAUGGUUGAUCCAAAAUCAAAACAAGGUGUACCUAACGUCGACAAGCCAAGACAACCAACAAUCCGACAAGUGUGGAUCUGGAAAGGUGAUAUCUUACCUUGCUCCUUGUCUUAGUUUGUUUUAUUGAUAAUGUAAUGCUUUGUUUGGUGCUUAUUGCAUAUUUGUAUUCAUUGCAUUACAUGUUUGGACGAUUUUUUGUACUUGAAUUUUAUGUGUCUUUAAAAUCUUUUGAGGAAAGGUGAUAGGGAAUUAAAAAUUUCUUUGAGAAAAGAGAUGAUUGAAAAUCAUUAUUUUGGGGGAGAUUAAAUUCUUUUCAAAGUGUUUUAAACGGUAUUUUCAUAUUUAUAUUAAAUUAAAUUCAUAUUAAUUAUCGGUUUUACUCCACUUUUUAUUAUUUUGACGAUAAUUGAUUAUAUGAAUUCUUAAUACAUAUAUUCAUCAAAAUUUUGAAAUCAAUUUUGAUCUCUUGGUGAUUAAUUCAUCUUGGUUGUGAGUGUUGAAUAUGAUAGAUGGGUAUUCGCUAAUAGACCAAAAUUUGUCAAAAUUAUUUUCAAUUGUGAGAUUGUCUAAUUUAGGAGGAGUUUGGAUAUUUAAAAAAAAAAAGAAAAAAUAAACUCCUAUGUUUAAAAGAUGUGGAAAGAGUUACAUCCAAAAAGAGUGUGAAAACUACGUACCACCACAUGUAGGAAAGAGCUACUACCCCGGUCGUCCGACAAGUGUGUGAAGCUACCACAUGGAAAUUAAUUGAAUAAGCGAAAAGGUUGAAUAAAAUAAAUAUAUUAGAAUUUUCGGAGGUAUAAGGUGGUAGGAUGAAAAGAUGCUCAAAGAGUCACCCCCGGUGCCAUAUUAGUUAAAUCUCUAUUUUGAACGAGCCGCUUCAUCAAGCUGCUCUUGGAGGACCGAAUUAUUCUUCAAAAUUGAUUCCCUUUCCUCCUCAAGGCUUUAUUCAUUGUCUUCAAGUUGUUGUUUUCCUCUUCGAGAUCCAACAAAUGACGCCUCAACUUCUUAUUAAGUUUUGCCAUCUUCUUUGAUUCAAUAAGGAGUUAAUUAUACGCUUCCGCUAUAUCCUCGUCGUUUGAUUUCUCCUCAUUUUCGCCGUUGUCGCUCGAAGACCCAUGCAAGGAAGAAACAUUGGAAUUAGAAAUAAUAGAAGAUAAGCAAACAACAUUAGACGAAGGCAAAGAACUGUUAGUAAACAAAGCAAGUUCAUUCUUUCCUUCGUCACUUGAACUUCAUUCACUAGAAGUUGAAUGAUCCCAAGUCUUUGCUUGCAAAGCCUUUUGUCUAUAUAUUGUUUUUAAAGGACAAUCUGUUGCUGUCACGCCUCGCCCCGAAACCACUACCAAUUUGGCACUAUUCGGGCGUGCCGGGCGGACCGCUGAACGGACAGCACCUCCCCUGUCCGCCCAAGGCUCAACAAUAGGAAUGUGCACAAGAAUUUACCCAGGAGGCCAGGAAUUUCAAAUUCUAAACAUACAUAUUCAACGGGGCACAAACAGUGCCAACAACAACAAGAGCAAGUGAUCCACAAAUAACAACGAGUAAAAUAAAGAGAGUACUUUACUAACUAUUACAAUAGUUUUGCAUUUUUUAUAUAUACAUCCUUUCCUCAAAAUGAAUACAUAUGUUCAUUCAAAAUACAUAGCUUUCCAAAUCCUCACCUACAUGAAUCUCUCUCAAUACAUAGGUGUGCUAAUGCAAAAAGGAAAGCUACUAUACUACCACGGUCUCACUGAUAGGGCGCGAUGCCCUUGCCGCGGUCCUCGCUCGGUAAACCUGUACCUACCACUGGAAAUAGAGUGGGGUGAGAACUAUCUUCCAUAGUUCCUAGUGGGCUCGGCCGCCGACUCCGCCGAUCUCCCCACUAGGUCCAAGUGGGCACAAGUAAUAACAAGUAGAUAGAUAGAUAGAUAUCUCAAAGCAAUAAAGGCAUAAAGGAAAUCUAUGCUACUGUGCCCAUAAUCAUGUAUAAUGAAUGCAUGCAUCAUAUAGUAAAGGAUUACUAUCAUGCUAACGAAUUCUAUCCGUGUUCGAAUAAUAAUGUUCAAUGACAUUGUUCACUGUUCUUUUACCCAAUCUAUAGCGAAGCCCUAGGGUUCGCCAAUAACUUACCUUUCAAUCCCAAAGUGGGGAAUGAGCUCCAAGUGCUCCCAAGCCCGGGACCAUCUGCGGACCUCCAUGUGGUCCGGACCUCCAAGUGGUCCUAAUCGCCGACACUCCGGAGUACUCGACGACAAUCCCCUCCAUGUGGGGAUACGGAUGGCUAUACCACCCCAAAAGCAGACUGUGAGCUAGAUCUAUCCUCUCCGAGUGAGGAUGCCCUACAACUAAGGUCAACAACCCAAUCAAAUCAUCGACAACCUCUCCAUGUAAGGGUACUUAGGUUUACUAAGUUCUUUGCCCACAAGGCAUUUUCUAAGGGAUCCACCUAUCCCUAGGUUCUCAAACCUCUAGUGUCAUUUACACUACAUUAAUGCCACUCGUUAUUCUUUAACAUUUGGAUGCCACUCAUUUGUUCUUUAAUAUUUAGAUACCACUUUCUAUGUCAUCAACACCCAUCGUGUUCAUCUCAUUUCUUUAGCACUAUAGAAUCCAUUUUCCGACCCAAUCCUCACCUAUCUAAAUCACCGAGCAUUCCAAGUACACUAGAUUAUCAAUUAGAAAGCAUAAGGAAUGGUACUACUAUGCAAUCCUAUAAUGCAAUAUGUAAGAGAUGAGAUUAAAUGCAAUCUAAGACAUAGAAAGGAGUUUGAAAGCUUCGGGAUGGCACCCCCCACCUUUUACCGAUGUAGAGGCUUUAGAAAUGUUCCUCGGCGAACUUUACGAAAAGGCUUUAGCCUUCCUUGGUCCAAGAUAAAGCUAAAUCGGUCGUAUUUUGCCGAUAGCUCCAAAUUCACUCGACGAAUCGCGAAAUCGACUUCGCCCCCGCGUUUUGUGACCUAAAAAUUAGGUUUACAAGGCGUCAAAUGAGAUCAAUCUCAUACUUUACUAAAAACCCUAUUUUGGAGCUUUAGGUUUGCACCUAUAGCCAACCACUCAAUUAAAACCCUAUAUUCUAGCACUGAUCUAUUUAGAAGCAUGCUAGAAGUCCAUUUGACCCAUUUCCAAAGUCAAAAACCCAAAAACCCAAAGUUCACAAAGCUAGGGUUUGGUAGCUUACCUCUUGAGCUACACCAAAAGAAGAUGAGAGGGAGAUGAAGGUGUCCAAGGCCUUCCUCUUGAUCUCCUCCUUCUUCUCCUCCCUUUUUCUUCUUCUCCUUUUCCUUCCUCUCUUCCUUGUUCUUCUUGUUCUUCUUCUCUUUCUAGAGAGAGAGAGGGAGAGAAUAUGAGAGGGAGUGAGAGAGUGAGGGAAUGAGAGAGGGAGAGAGAAAUUUCCCAUGUAUACCCCUCAUCUAAUGGCCAUUUUGCACUUAAACCCCUCCACUUUUCCAUCCUUGCACAGCCCUCACUGGGCUGUUUUCGCGCGGAGGGACCGGUCUCCCCGACUUGGGACCGGUCCCCGAGAGCAGCCCAUGCUGCCAGGGGCCCUUCUCACGUUCGGGAACCGGUCUCUCCCCGGGAGACCGGUUCCUCUCGAAGAGACCGAUUCCCAAGAGCCCGAUUUUCAGGACUUAGCCAAUUUUUGGCGUUUCUCGCUGGUGGCGCGCCGGGGGACCGGUUUCAUCAAUCCAGGGACCGGUUGCAUCAAGAUCCCCCGCAGCCACUAGUCUCGGGGACCGGUCUCUCCCUGCCAGGGACCGGUCCCCGAGAGCAAAAAUCUGCUCAGUGUAGAUUUUCAUUCCUUAGCUCUCGUGGACUCUCUUUCAAGGCACUUUUUGUGUUUUGGACAUCUUUAACUUCCCCAAAGGGUAUUCUCUCGACAAAUAGUCAAUCCUGGACGAAGUACAACUCUCGAAUUUCGAGAAUUCACUUCCUUACAGUUGCAAUAUGGCCGUUCCCUUUACAUUUGUAGCAUUGGAUUUCCCCUUCAAAUUCAUCUUUUUCUUUUGAAGACUUUGCAAGUUUCUUAUCUUUAGAUUUAGAAGAUAAAGAUGAUUUAGAAAAGGAUUGUUUCUUAGACGAUGAAGCCUUGUCCAAUUUAUUCUUCCGAAAAUUCCGACGAAACUUCUUCGUGAGGAAGGCUAAUUGAUGUUCGAAAUCAGCAAGCGAAACAUCUCCGUCGGAAUCUGAAUCUUCGUCUUUUUUCUUUGUCGAUUUGAGUGCAACCCAUGUACUUUUAGAAGAAGACUUGGCAAAAGAUUAAUUAGUAGGAAAAGUCAUUUCAUAAGUUUGCAAAGCGCGCACCUACUAAUUUUUCGAUUUGAGUGCAACCCCUGUACUUUUAGAAGAAGACUUGGCAAAAGAUUGAUUAGUAGGAAAAGUCAUUUCAUAAGUUUGCAAAGCACCUACUAAUUUUUCGACUUUCAUCUCGUCCGGAUGCUUAACGGUUUCGAUCGCGGCAACCUUUGCCCGAAAGCGUUCCGGAAGAGUCCGAAGUAUUUUUCUUACAACCUUUGAAUCCAGGAUUUUUGCUCCCAAGUUCGCGCAUGUAUUAACAACAUCUUGAAGUCGCGUAUAGUACUCGGUAAAGGUCUCAUUUUCUUUCAUAAAAAUUGAGUCAAAUUUGCUCGUUAACAUUUGUAAUUUUUGGACCUUUACUAAGCUAGUUCCUUCAUGCGUAACUUGUAGAGUAUCUCAAAUCUCUUUGGCGGUAUUACACGCCAAAACGAGAGUGAACUCCGUUUGAGACAAUGCAUUAAAUAAAGCGUUUAUGCCCUUGCCGUUAAACGAAGAUGACUCGUUCUCUCAUCUUUUGUCCACUUGUUCCGCAGUUUAGGAACGGUAGCAUUAUCGACAACUUCGGUAGGAUGUUUUCAUCCGAAUUCGAUAGCUUUCUACACCCGCUCAUCGAUUGCGAUUAGAAAAGCUCUCAUGCGAACCUUCCAAUAGGCAUAAUUUGUGCCAUCGAAGAGUGGUGGUCGAUUAAUGUUACCGCCUUCGGCCAUUAGAUAGCAAUAUAUCUAGAUCACGCUCUUAUACCAAUUGAAAGUUUUGGGGUACCCAAAGAUCUAUCUAGAUUGUAUCUAACACCUAGCGGGGGGUGAAUAGGUGUAAUAGCCAAAAACCAUAAAUCUCAAUGCGAUAAAAAUAAAUGCGAAAAAUAAAAAUCACAUCGAGAUUUACGUGGGAAAACUCCAACUUGGAGAAAAAAUCACGGGACCAACACGCGAAAAAAUAAUUCACUAAGAGAAAAGAUUAUAAGGUGAUUACCGACUCCACGGACUCGGCCUCCCUUAACCUCUUACGAAUCUCGCGCAAUCCUCCGGAUUGUCCACGCCCUCACGUUCGAAUCCACGAAUGCCUCGCACACGUCCGAAUCCACGAACGCCACUCGAAUCCACGAGCCCACGAUCCGAAUCCACGAACUGCCUUCAAUCACGCCGAAUCCACGACGCCAUCCAUGAAAAACAUCAUGCUAU